UGCUGGCUUCGGCAGUACUAUACUAAACAGGGACGGUACAGAAAAAGAUUAGCACGGCCCUUGCACAAGAAUGCCACACAAACUCGUGAAGCGUUCAGUAUUUUG
Molecule: small nuclear RNA, 105 nt
Organism: Eptesicus fuscus (big brown bat)
Lineage: Eukaryota; Metazoa; Chordata; Mammalia; Chiroptera; Vespertilionidae
Source: RefSeq, a predicted model, not a curated record